RNAcentral lists this ribosomal RNA (425 nucleotides) under uncultured bacterium. RNAcentral describes it as "bacterial SSU rRNA". It matches the Rfam family "Bacterial small subunit ribosomal RNA", at positions 356 to 773 of the family's 1533-position model. The record is from RNAcentral.
GGGGAAUAUUGCACAAUGGGCGAAAGCCUGAUGCAGCAACGCCGCGUGUGUGAAGAAGGUCUUCGGAUUGUAAAGCACUUUAAGUUGGGAGGAAGGGCUGCUGGUUAAUACCCUGCAGUUUUGACGUUACCAACAGAAUAAGCACCGGCUAACUUCGUGCCAGCAGCCGCGGUAAUACGAAGGGUGCAAGCGUUAAUCGGAAUUACUGGGCGUAAAGCGCGUGUAGGUGGUUGGGUAAGUUGAAUGUGAAAGCCCCGGGCUCAACCUGGGAACUGCAUCCAAAACUGCCCGACUAGAGUACGGUAGAGGGUGGUGGAAUUUCCUGUGUAGCGGUGAAAUGCGUAGAUAUAGGAAGGAACACCAGUGGCGAAGGCGACCACCUGGACUGAUACUGACACUGAGGUGCGAAAGCGUGGGGAGCAAAC